GAAUCAACGCUGGCGGCGUGCCUCAGACAUGCAAGUCGAACGCGAAAGUUUCCUUCGGGGAACAAGUAGAGUGGCGCACGGGUGAGUAACACGUAGGUAAUCUACCUUCGGAUGGGGAAUAACAAUCGGAAACGGUUGCUAAUACCGCAUAAUGCAGCGGCACCUAAUGGUGACAGUUGUUAAAGCGGGGGAUCGAAAGACCUCGCGUCUGAAGAGGAGCCUGCGGCGGAUUAGCAGUUGGUAAGGUAACGGCUUACCAAGGCUACGAUCCGUAGCCGGCCUGAGAGGGCGGUCGGCCACACUGACACUGACAUACGGGUCAGACUCCUACGGGAGCAGCAGUCGGGAAUUUUGGCAAUGGGCGAAAGCCUGACCCAGCAACGCCGCGUGAA
Molecule: ribosomal RNA, 392 nt
Filed under: uncultured bacterium
Lineage: Bacteria
Description: bacterial SSU rRNA
Rfam family: Bacterial small subunit ribosomal RNA
Source: RNAcentral